AACGAACGCUGGCGGCAUGCCUAACACAUGCAAGUCGAACGAUCCCUUCGGGGAUAGUGGCGCACGGGUGCGUAACGCGUGGGAACCUGCCCUUAGGUUCGGAAUAACUCAGAGAAAUUUGAGCUAAUACCGGAUAAUGUCUUCGGACCAAAGAUUUAUCGCCUUUGGAUGGGCCCGCGUUGGAUUAGCUAGUUGGUGGGGUAAAGGCCUACCAAGGCGACGAUCCAUAGCCGGUCUGAGAGGAUGAUCAGCCACACUGGGACUGAGACACGGCCCAGACUCCUACGGGAGGCAGCAGUGGGGAAUAUUGGACAAUGGGCGAAAGCCUGAUCCAGCAAUGCCGCGUGAGUGAUGAAGGCCUUAGGGUUGUAAAGCUCUUUUACCCGGGAUGAUAAUGACAGUACCGGGAGAAUAAGCCCCGGCUAACUCCGUG
RNAcentral lists this ribosomal RNA (433 nucleotides) under uncultured bacterium. RNAcentral describes it as "partial 16S ribosomal RNA". It matches the Rfam family "Bacterial small subunit ribosomal RNA", at positions 29 to 507 of the family's 1533-position model. The record is from RNAcentral.